GUUGCGCAGGUUGCCCACCCGGAACAUAAGAGUGAGUUUUCCGUCCCUCAUGGAAAUAACCGCAUGCUCGCUAAACAUGAGGGUCUCGGCGCGCUUUUUGGGCUGGGACAUCUUGAUGAACAUGCAGCCGAUGAGGAAAGCGUCCACGAUGGAGCCAAGGAUGGACUGGAAGAGGAAGAGGAUGAUGCCCUCGGGGCACUUGUCUGUGAUGUAGCGGUAGCCAUAGCCGAUGGUGGCCUCGGUCUCAAUGAAGAAGAGGAAGGCAGAGGGGAAGUUAUAGACAUUGGCCACACACGGAGUGUAGUUGCCGACAUGGGCUUUGUUCAGGUCGCCCCGGGUAUAAGCGAUCACCCACCACAUGGACGCCAUGAAGAGCCAGGCCACGGUGUAGGUGAGGAUGAAGAUAAAGAGGUUCCAACGCCACUUGAGAUCCACCAGGGUAGUGAAGAGGUCCGAGAGGUAGCGACUGGUCUCGCUGCCCAGGUUACCAUGCUGCACAUUGCACCGGCCGUUCUUGUCCACGAACCGCUGCCGUUUCUUCUUGGGUACCAGCUGCUGCUGCGGGCCCUGUCCUGGCCCCUGAGGCUGCAAGCCCGAACCGCUCGACGAAGUGGUCACUACCUGGUAAUCGUCCCCAAAUUUCCUUCGGAGUGCAGACAUAAUAUGGAGGGGCGAGCCAGAUUCAAACACGAAGCGGAGGCGCAAGAGCCAAGCGCUGCAAACCGGCACCAAUAAGGAGGUGGGGGCAGGGGACGAAAGCAGGAGGGGAGGGGACGAAAGCAGGCGCCUGGGUUGGGGGUGGGGGUGGGGAGCACCCUGCAGGUAGCAGCAGUCUCUGCCCCGUCGGAUGCCUCUCCUCCCCUGGGACAGAGUCUUUCUUUCCAGGAGCAGGGCUAAAACAGAAGUGUUCUCCCACACUCAAGGCAAGGGGAAUGCAAGGGGCAAGAACCCAAGUGAAAUUUUGCUUCUGAGCUCUUUGAGGCUUCUCUUUUUCCCCCCACCAUCAGCAUCCCGGGCCACCGCUUACCUUUCCACAGCACCCCACCCUCGACUGUCCUGCAGCACCCCUGAACUGGUUGCUGAAAAUUAAUGAGUUUGACAAGCAAGUCCCACCCCACCUGCUAACUCCCCAAGCUUCUAAACUGCUCCACCUGCCUGGUCCAGACCCUCCCCCCUCCCAGCUGCACCCUGAUCACCCGCCCCCCCCGGGAGUGCUCCUAGGUCUCUUGUCACUCCCGCCUCCUAUCUUUUAGCCAAAAUCCCGCCCAGAGGCAUGUCUACUGGGCAGCGGUGCAACGCCCCCUACCCACGCUCAGCUGAUUCAGAAUCCCCCUCCCGGGACUCUAGAGACCUGUCCUCCUGCGGUGCGCGGGCGGCCGAGUUUUCACGCGCGCCACCUGGGCCUUCGGGUGGACUCUCGGGAGGGGGUGAGCGGACGUCAAGCUACCCCUGCGCUCCAAGGAGCUCUGGAAGCUCGGGCACUCACCCAGUGACAGAGGACAGGCGGAGGCUCUGCAAGCAGCACAGGCAGUCUGGCCAAGCACCCUGAGCUUCGGGUUGCCUGACCCCUUUCUACUUUUCUUGGUGUUCCAAGAUGAGAACCAAUGCAGGUGUGUCAGGCUCCGUGCCUCCCUGGGGACACUACGCUGCCUCCGCCAGAAACCCCUUAAGCUCCAAGCAGAGACUGACUCCGACGCCCGACUCCCGGGUUCCUUAGCGCGCGAUGCCCUCUUUCCAGGCGACAGUGCGACUGCUGAACCGAGGUCAGACUUUCAGGUUAAACACCGGUUUUACUCCAGCUUUUCCGUGCCUCUUAAUAGAAACAUUUGAGUCUUCCUUCCUUCGAUCUCCUAUUCCAUGUCCGCCCUUUGCUUGUCCCGGAUGGAUGGAGGAUGCAAGGCUCAAGUGGAGGCAACCAGAAUGAGGUGUGUGUGCUGGUGCGUGUGAUCAGCUGCAGAACCACACUAGCCCCGCCUGUCCUUGCCUUCCCCCGCUGCUCUACCAGCCUGAAUUGCACCUCCGCGCCUGGGUUGAGCCUGCAGUGUCUGGCAGCUUAGAGAAUGUGAGCCCCUCCAAUGAGAAGCAGCUUUAAAUCUGCUCCCAAAAGGCUGCCAACUCUUCCCCCCUCCCACCCCGCAUCAAUCAGAAAGCCCCCAGAAAGCAACAAAUGCUGCUUUCUGUGAGGAGUACAAUAUGUCUCUAUUUCUAGGGCUUUCUUUUAAGCGAAUAGAAUACUAGGAUUUGGGGAUGUAUCAUCAACAGAGAUUCAGCUUUCAGAUAGGCAUAUUCAGAACCAAAAAUUCCAAAACCAGAGGGACCUGACAACCAAGAAAGGCCACACUGAACGGAAACUCCAAACACUUUCUGAAAAUGAUUGUAUGAGGAAGACUUAGAAUAUUUACAGUUAGUGUGCGGUAAUAAUUGAGGGAAAAGUGCCACAUUUUAAUGGCCCCAGCCUGGCAGUUAACUUAAUGGAGGGGGCAAAGUGCAGAAAGAGCUGAUAUAGAGCCCUUGAGUAAAUGCCAGCUUAUUUACCACAUCUCAUGCUCGUUUUAAAAUGUCAUGGAGUCUUAUGCCAUAUUCCAUUCUGUUCUGAUACGCAAAGUUGGUAGAAAGUUCAUCAACUCUUGCUAUAAAAGCGAAGGUUGACGGUAAGAAUGGGAAACCCAAAAAGCACACAAUUACUAGACCAUUUCUCCCAGGUAGACACUCACUGCUCCUCUGCUGUAAGACAAACCAUGGACUCACAAGCAGAGGACUUGUAAAACAUUUAGCUCCAGUUACAGCUUCUCCUAUGGGAUCUCUGCAAAGAGGACAGCAAUGUAUUCUCUCGAGGUUAAACAAAGCAGGGACACUCCAGUCCUAGAAUCCUAAGGCCUUAUUUGAAUAUAGCUCUAUCUUUACAAGCUGGGUGACCUUGAGCAAGAGAAAAAUCAUGAAGCCUGAAUUUCCCCCUUCAAAAAAAAAUAAGUAAAUGAAAAUCAGAGUUUUAUAUUUUCCCAGUGAUGAUAGAAAAACAAAGGAAUAAAAGAAAAGUAAUGCUAUUUUUAUUAUUUAUUUUAUUAUUUUAUCAUUUCUCCUUCGAAGGAUAUACUUGGCUGCCAAGUGUUAGCAGAGCCAAGAGGAGACCAUGGAUGAGUUCUUUAAGUUGCUGCCAUGCUGUGAACUAACACAUCUCUUUAUCUUAUUUCUGUUUCUCCUCCACUGUCCACUCUGCCCUGGGCGGAUUCUUGUUUCGGUUACUAAAACACUUGAAGACAUAAGCUGAUCCCUGGUCUUGUCCUUGCUAUGGGUCUUACUGGCUCCCCGUUUAAGUGUGUUCUCUAUAGCGAAGCCUUUCUUAGUAGCUCAGGCCCUCUUUGUCUCAUCAGUCAGGUUCCUCCUGAGGAAGUUUUCUCCAUGCUGUUUUCCUUCUGUCAAUGUUCUUCUCCCUCUGUUGGCAAUCUGAUAAAACAGGCGCCACAAAGGGUGAAAGUCCUGUCUUUUUGCCUUUCUUUGUCUCUCACUCCUAGAAUUGUACUUGUCUCAUGCUUGGCAAACGGUAUUUCUUGGAUUAUUACAUAUGGCAGUCUAAAUCAUUAGCAGCUCCCCACCAAUUCACUAAAACUAUACUCAGAAUGUAACCUGCACUAAAACUGGCCUCCCUUACUUGAAAGGAUACGAAAGAACAUUAAUGCUUAAAAGAGAAUAUUUCUCGUUACAUUAAGAAUUUAUGUUCUAUCAGACUUUUGGAUCUUUACUCAGUAUGUUUGAAAUGAUACCUGCACUUUGUUUAAAAGGACAUCACUAACCUUUCUUUAGGACCCUAGUCAGCCAAACAUGGAGGAGUAUGAUUUUAAUUCCAUCACCUAGUAGACAGAGGCAAUCAGAUCUCUGUGAGUUUGAGGCAAGCUCCAGGCCAUCCAUGAAUAUGUAGUGAGGAUCUUACAGAAUCAUGAUGGUUUAAUAACAAAAAAACAAAGUAUUUUAGUAUCUUCCUGCCACCAUUCCUCAGUGAGUACUAAACUCAAAUUGAUUUAAUUGUAUUGUUUCAGAAUGAUUGACUUUAAUUUUCUAUUUGAGUUACUGUUUUGAAUUUCAUUUUGACAAUCAUAUGAAUUUUUGCCUGGUAAUAAAGCAGAGUUUCCAACCAUUUCUGAAAUAGCAUGAAGCAUUUUUACUUCUGCCAUUUGUACUGCAUGUAGUACAGGCAAAGUGUCAUUCUAGCACUAACAAUUAUUAAGUCAAAAUAUCGAUCAACUGAAAAAUCUUGAAUUUGCUUCACAUGCUGUGAUGUUGAAUAGUCAUCCAUGAUAUACUUCUUUUCCUAAAAAUAAACUA
This 4320-nucleotide long non-coding RNA is filed under the name Mus pahari (shrew mouse). RNAcentral describes it as "lncRNA (MGP_PahariEiJ_G0005457.1)". The record is from RNAcentral. Lineage: Eukaryota; Metazoa; Chordata; Mammalia; Rodentia; Muridae.